Molecule: long non-coding RNA, 1272 nt
Organism: Cannabis sativa
Lineage: Eukaryota; Viridiplantae; Streptophyta; Magnoliopsida; Rosales; Cannabaceae
Exons: 4
Source: RefSeq, a predicted model, not a curated record
AACCCACUCUCUCUUCGCAGCCCCUUCUCUCUCUAGCACAACCCAGCCCCUUCUCUUCUUCUCUGUCGAAGACGACGUGACCCAGCCGCUUCUCUUCUUCUCUGUCGACGACGACGACACCAGUCUUGCAUUGUUGAUUAAUAAUACUCUCGGUCAUCCCUCUCCGGCCCGGUCUGUGCAUCGUCCAUAUACUCUCGAUUGCAUAAGACGAUAUCUUUUUAGUGAGAGUGAUUCGUCUCCGGUUUUGGGUUCUUUGUGUUGACUAAAAGUUGCGCAAUUGUAACUCUAUCUAUUGGAGAAAGGUAUAAUCUCUAAAAACUUUAUAAUUCUUUGUUUAGUGGAGUUUAAUAUGUUAGAUAUUCAUCCGUAGUGAAGUAGGUUCUGCGAUUAAUUGUACUGCGGUCGGAUGGGUGGAAUAUAUAUGCAUGUUAGAAGAGUUUGAAUAUCUUAAAUAUUCAUCCGUAGUGAAGUAGGUUCUGCGAAUACAUGUACUGCGGUCGGAUGGGUGGAUAUUUUUAUAUUGUUAAUGUUAUUUUGUUAUUAUUGUAUUGUUUUAUGUGUUUAUUAGUUAUUUUUUUUUUUCAUGUUUUUAAUUUUUGGGAAUGUCCGAUUACAGCUGUUAUGCUGCCGAAAUUUUACUAGAAUUAGGAUAAAUUUCACUAAAAUGCAUAAAAUUCAAUAAAAUAUAUACACAUAUUUAAACAAAUAACUGAAUAAUUUUUUUUUUUUUUAGAAGUUUCAAAAUGGAUAGAAAUUGGAUGAGUGCGAAUAGAUUAUCAGCGGAGUAUAGUGAAGGAGUUGACCAUUUCUUGGACUUUUGUCAGAAGAAUGCUAAAAAUACUAAAUUGGUUCUUUGUCCUUGUCUUAAAUGUGGUAACAUGGAGUGUGUGGACAUUGCUAGUAUAAAGGAGCAUUUAUUUAGGAACGGAAUAGACAAGAGUUAUAAGGUUUGGGUUUACCACGGGGAAAAGAAUAGAGUUCCGGGCGAGGGAACGUCUAAGUCUAACAAGGUUAAGGGUGUUAAUUUGGAGUAUGAGGAUGAUCACAUUCCAGAAAUGAUUGGAGAUGCACAAUAUGAAUUAAAUGUCAAUCCUUUGAAAUUUCAAAGUUUUGUAGAGGAUGCCGAGAAGCCUAUUUACCCUAAUUGUAAUAGGUUUACUAAGUUGUCGACACUUAUUAGAUUAUACAACAUAAAAGCCAAACACGGGUGGAGUGAUAAGAGCUUUUCGGAUUUACUAGCUUUCCUAGUAGAGUUAUUACCGGAAGGUAAUG